RNAcentral lists this long non-coding RNA (932 nucleotides) under Phoenix dactylifera (date palm). RNAcentral describes it as "long non-coding RNA (PDAC_LNC016458)". Lineage: Eukaryota; Viridiplantae; Streptophyta; Magnoliopsida; Arecales; Arecaceae. The record is from RNAcentral.
ACAACAACAUAUUCUCUGGAAGAGUUCCAAUUAAAACCAUGAAUGAAUAUCUCUAGAAGGAACAACUAUAUGCAGCUUAAUUAUGACAUCCCCGAAAGUGGGGUGGGUUUGGAAAUAUUAUAAAAAGAACACCAACGAGCUUGAGCGAAGGAAAAAGAAGAAGAAGAAGAAGAAGUUGAGACAAAGGCCACCAAAACAAUAGAGCAAAGUCACCGCAUUUCCAUUAGUAUUUACCUGCAGUUGAAAAAAAGAGAAAGAAAUUGGCAAGGAAUAACAUUUCAGUUCUAGGAUGGAAAAAUAAACUUGAAUAGAAGGAUGAGUAAGAACCACUGUUUCCAGCUCGUCUAAUGAAGGAGAGGAAGACAAUAAUGAGGGCGACUCCGGCCAUGAGCCCAACGACAACAGCCAGAGUUUUCCCGGCCUCGCCACCUGAAAUUUUUAAAAGAAAAGGAGUGCAAUAAUGGAGACCAGACCCCUUCGCAUUAAACAAGUUACUGUCAUCGAUUCUGAUACUGUGGAGAAUAAUCAAUGAGAUCUCCUAAUCAAGUGUCACAUUUGCACCAUAUGACAGGAGGAAAAAAAAGAAAGAAAAAGAAACCUUACAGGCCAAAAAGGUUGUAAAGCCAUCCUUUCCAUUUCUUUGCCUUUGAUUUCGUUUGGGACAAACUACCACUUCUUGCUGUAUCUUUAAUAUAAAAAAGAAGGAAAAGAAAAGAAAUCAUUGUUAUGAGGACUUGGGGAGAGCACUGUUAUUAUACACUUGGGAGAAAAGUUGGUGGAACGUGGAACCGCAAGUUGGCCACCAAACUGGGUCGUAUGUUCGUCCAAAUGACUUAAUAUCCAGGCUUGUGAUCGGUAUUAGAAAGUAUGGUAGCCUUUGAGUUGAACUUGAUGAAGGGAGAGAGAGAGAGAGAGAGAGAGAGAGAGAGAGG